UACGAAGGGGGCUAGCGUUGCUCGGAAUCACUGGGCGUAAAGCGCACGUAGGCGGAUUCUUAAGUCGGUGGUGAAAGCCUGGAGCUCAACUCCAGAACUGCCUUCGAUACUGAGAGUCUUGAGUCCGGGAGAGGUGAGUGGAACUGCGAGUGUAGAGGUGAAAUUCGUAGAUAUUCGCAAGAACACCAGUGGCGAAGGCGGCUCACUGGCCCGGUACUGACCGCUGAGGUG
This 231-nucleotide ribosomal RNA is filed under the name uncultured bacterium. RNAcentral describes it as "partial 16S ribosomal RNA". It matches the Rfam family "Bacterial small subunit ribosomal RNA", at positions 524 to 753 of the family's 1533-position model. The record is from RNAcentral.